AGUGAAAUAUAGCAUUGUAAAAUAUAGGUAUAAAAUGAUACUUUUGUAUCAAAUACUUACAUUUCUAAAUAUGUAUAACAGUUUAUAUUUAUACUGCUAUUCCUGUGUGUGUGUGUGUGUGUGUGUGUGUGUUACUGGAUUGAUCCCCUAUGCACUCUGCCACUG
Molecule: small RNA, 165 nt
Filed under: Marmota monax (woodchuck)
Lineage: Eukaryota; Metazoa; Chordata; Mammalia; Rodentia; Sciuridae
Source: RNAcentral